Molecule: ribosomal RNA, 305 nt
Filed under: uncultured bacterium
Lineage: Bacteria
Description: bacterial SSU rRNA
Rfam family: Bacterial small subunit ribosomal RNA
Source: RNAcentral
UGAGCCCUACGGGGCGCAGCAGUGAGGAAUAUUGGUCAAUGGCCGGAAGGCUGAACCAGCCAAGUCGCGUGAGGGAAUAAGGCCCUACGGGUUGUAAACUUCUUUUGUCAGGGAGCAAUUGGGUCCACGCGUGGGCUUAGCGAGAGUACCUGAAGAAAAAGCAUCGGCUAACUCCGUGCCAGCAGCCGCGGUAAUACGGAGGAUGCGAGCGUUAUCCGGAUUUAUUGGGUUUAAAGGGUGCGUAGGCGGAAUAUCAAGUCAGCGGUAAAAAUUCGGGGCUCAACCCCGUCGUGCCGUUGAAACUG